AGUAAACGUGUCAUCAUCCUCAUUUCAUAGAUGAAGAAACAGGCAAGUCAUGUGGCUGGCAAGUGGUAAAGCUACAUUUAGCACCCACACAUUCUGGUUCUGGAGUCCACAAGCUUAACCACCACUUAAAAUUGCUGCUACUAAAAAAGAAUUCUCCAGAAAAAUAUGAGAUGCCCCCAAACAAAAGAAGAAAAAGAAGGAGGAAAAAAGGAUAGAGUCAACCAGAUGACUCAAACUUGUUCUGGCUCGAGUUUACCAAGCCAGACAGUCUCCAAGUGAAGCUUUGAGGAUGGGACCUCCACCUGGCAGAGCCACAGGACUGCCAUUCAAUGGAUCCAGAAGGCAGAGUAUGGAGCCAAAGAGGAUUAUUCCCAAGCUUUAAGAUCUGAUGGAAUUUGCCUUGCUAAAUGUUGGACUUGCCUGGGGCCUGUUACCCCUCCCCUCUUUUCUGUUUCUCUCUUUUGGAAUGGGAAUGUCUCUGCCUGUCCCUCCAUUGUAUUUCAGAAGCACAUAACAUGUCUGGUUUCGCAGAUUCACAGCUGGAGAGGAAAUGCUUCUGGAUGAAUCAUACCUUGAGUCUCACCCAUACCUACUUUAGAUGAUAUUUAGAUGAGAUGUUGGACUUUAUACUUAGAGUUGAUGCUGGAAUGAGUUAAGACUUUGGGGGCUGUUGGUAUAGAAUGAAUUUUUUUGCACAUGAUAAGGACAUGAAUUUGGGGGAGCUAGAGGCAGAUUGUUUUGGACUGAAUUGCAUCCCCCAAAAUUUAUGUGUUGAAGCCCUAAUUCCUCAUGUGAUUGUAUUGGAGAUGGGGCAUUUAAGGAGAUGGUUAAGGUUAAAUGAAAUCAGAAGGGUGGUACGCUGAUAUGUUAGAACUGGUGUCCUCACCUGAGAGGAAGAUAUGUCAGAGAUUGGUCUCUCCUUCUCUGUGCCAUGUGAGGACACAGUGAGAAGGUAGCCAUCUGCAAGCUAGGAAGAGAGCCAUCACCAGAAAUCGACCUUGCCAGCUCCUUGAUCUUGGACUUUCCAGCCUCCAGAACUGUGAGAAAAUAGUUUGAGCCACCCAGUCUUUGGUAUUUGGUUAUGGCAGCCCACGCUGACUACGGUAGGAUUUUAAACAGACUUAUUUUAAAGUCAUUUUAAGAUUGUUCUUUUUUUUUUUUUUCAUUUUAUCUGCAAUGAAUUCAUCCUCUGACUGGUUAUUUUUUGACUGUCUAUCUUCAUAUAUUUUAUUUUCGUUCAAUGGCUGAUCAUGAGUAGGAGAUUUUUUUUUAAAGCUCUCUCUCUGCCCUUGUCAUUCUCAUUUAAUAUUUUUCAGCUGCCCCUGUCUAGCCCCUGAAGGCAGUAAUCUACUGAAGCAUUUGGAUAUCCAUAGCAUAGAGCUUCAUCCCCAUAAAUAUUGGGCAUAUCACAGAGUCGUUCCCAGUGCUUCAAGGCUGAGUCUGCUUCCUGCCUUGUCAAUGGUUCCCUAGGCAAUGUUUUGGUCUUUUGGGCCUCCUUUCAUGUUUAUUUGUAACAUCUUAGGUUUUCUUGUCUAUGGUUAGUAGACCAGUGCUGUAAACUAGGUAGUCACAGCUCCCGAAAGGCACACUUGCAAGGUUACGUGAUCGUAUUAACCAUGUCUUUUAUUUUCAGUAUUCCGAUGCUUUGACAUCCGAAUCCUUCCUAGCUUGCAAGGACUGCCCCUCCCAGGGUUAGCCAGUUCUUAGAGAUAAUAAACAACUCUCUCUGUGUGUGCUUUUCAAAUGUAAACCAAACGGUCCAGAGCCCAUACCCCCAGUCACCUUCGUUAUUGGGCUCUUAGACUCCAGGCCAUUUCCCCUUGUCCCAGUCACCCAGGGCCAGGUAUCAGACAGCCAGGGACAGGCCCUAUGCCCAGAGACUGCUGAAAUUAUUCAAAGUAGCCAAUCUAAGCCUGCUUACACUGCCUUGCCUGUGCCUUCUCAUGGAAACCACCGUAAGGGCUCUUGCCCGUGAUUUCUCCCACUCCCUCUGCCUCCUGACCAACCCUGGUGCUUCCCCAUGUGGCCCAUGUGUGGUGUCCUGGGCCUCCUGUCUCUAGGGAUCUGUGAGGGAGCCUGCUUCAUGACAGCCAUUUCUGAGUCUAGAUGUCUUACCAUACCUGAUUGAAACAAAUCCCAAGUACCGUGAAAAAGAUGAUGUGCUGGGGGAAUGAUAGCAAAGUAAAGUGACUUGUGGAGGUGGAACACACAUGUCUUGUACUUGGUUAACUCUAGUCCAUUUAACAUCGUAAUUGUUAUAAAGUUCUGGGGUUUUGGAAAUGUGUGCUUUUAUAAUAUUAAGAACUCAAUAGUUUGAAUUAAUUUUGGAUUAUUACUUUAAAAAUGUCAACGCAUUAAUAAAAUGUAGCUUAUAUAUGAGGCCAAAAGGAGAAAAUAGCACAAGGUGCUUUUCUAAUUAAAGAAAAAGAAAGAAAGAAAUUGUUCUCCCAUUACCUCCUGUGUGAAUUGAAACUUCCUCACUUUAUACUUAAUUUAAAACACCCAAUACGUGUUCGGGGAAACUUCUAAAUGCUGGAUGUUCAGAGACGAUCCACUCCUUAGGUGCCCAGCACAGAAUGCUUCUCAGUCUAUCCAAAUUUCUUUCUUUCUUUUUUUUUGGUGAGGAAGAUUGGCCCUCAGCUAACAUGUGUUGCCAAUUUUCCUCUCUUUCUUUUUUUUCUCUCCCCAGAGCCCCAGUACAUAGUUGUAUACCCUAGCUGUAGGUCAUUCUGGUUCUGCCACGUGGGAUGCUGCCUCAGCAUGGCCUGAUGACUGGUGUGUGGGCCUGCGCCCAGGAUCCAAACCGGCAAAUCCUGGGCCGAUGACGUGGAGCGUGUGAACUUAACCACUCGGCCAUGGGGCUGGCCCCUAUGCAGAUUUCUUUCACCUGCUUAUAACUCAGGCUCUUCGUUCCACACUGUUCAGUUUCCCCGUAUCGGUUUCAGUCAUUCCUGCUUCAUCACUUGUGCCCCACCAUUGCCACUCCCAGGUGGUUCCCUCUCGUCCUCCUCCCCUUCCACGUACCAUGGAUUGAUUAUCAGCUUCCCAGUGAAGUCUGUCUCUGUUUGUUCGGUCACGUUACCAUUACUUUUUUUUUGGUAGGGAAAGAUUCCCUCUGAGCUAACAACUAUUGCCAAUCUUCCUCCCCAAAGCCCCAGUGUAUGAUUGUAUAUUCUGGUUGUAAGUCCUUCUAGUUCUUCUAUGUGAGCUGCCACAACAUGGCAACUGACAGAUGGGUGGUGCGGUUCCAUGACCACGAAAAGAACCUGGGCUGCGGAAGCGGCGAGAGCACUGACCUUUAACCACUCGGCCAUCAGGGCGGGUUCCAUUUCCUUGUUUGAAUUUCUACAGCCUUGUGAUCAUUUUCACACAAUUUUUGUGAAAUGUAGUCUUUAAUCACAUACUUUUUUGUUUUAAUUUUAAAAUAUCUGAAAUUGAAGCAUCUCUGUCUCUCCAUGUGUAUGUGUAUAAAUGUAUCUACACGUAUAUUUUUUCCAGUGAUUCACUGCUCCCCCCAAAUAUUUUCAAAUGGAUAACACACAUAUAAUCUGUGGGUUCUAGAAAUUGAGGAAAUAGGAAAUCUUGACUUCUCAGUGGUUCUCAGUUGGUCCUUCACGGCACCUCCUGGAGCAUCGGGAGCAGGGCUGAAGCAGCGGGAAACUGAGAUAAACCAACGGAGCCCAACUCCAGUCACUGCUAUAACCUUGGAGGAGCAGCUCAACUUUUUUGGUAUGGCUUGUCAAGCAGUACCAUGUCUGCACCCAGGAUCCGAACUGGUGAACCCCGAGCCGCCGAAUCAGAAAGUGAGCACCUAACCACUGCGCCACCAGGCCAGCCCCCACAAUGCCUAGUUUUGAAAACCUUGCUGUGAAGGAAUUUGCAAGUCUCUGCAAUAGAAACAAGCAGUAGAUGGCGUUGCCGUGACAGGGAACUCAGACACGGAAAAUGAUUAUUCCCAGACUGCCUUAAAAAUGGUGUACUUGAGGUAAGGAAAUGAAAGACUGCUAACUCUUGGCAUAACUGGGAAAAUGCCACUGUGAUACAAAUGCUAGGACUAUGAUUAAGUUUUAGUCCCUGACUAAUGGUGCCUAAAAUAUAGUGUGGAGAUAUACAAAUAAUCAGAAUACAGGUUAGGAAACAAAAAUUGCCCAAAGAAGGGAAAAUACAUGUAAUGUGGGAAUUCAUAGUCCUACAAAGUAUUAAUUACUUCUAGUUACAUUAAAAACUUUAAUUAUAAUUAAUAAUUAUAUUAAUUACACAUUUGUACUCUGUGUAACUAUACAAAUGAGUAAUGGGUAUACAAGGAGAUGGGUAGACAAACCGGAAAUAUUCACACCUGCAAAAGUGCAGGGCACCCUUUUCUAUUACUGCAAGAAAAGCCUCGAGGGGUUUGGCAAACAUGACCUGCUAGGUUGCCAGCCAUUUAAAAAUAGUCAAGUUCAGAACCCCGGGAAAGCAGACGCAUCUUUAAUAGGGCAAAGAGAUAGCGCUUCGCUGAGGUCUGGUGCUGCCUGAGAAGCUGACAUCACCCAGUCUACUUUAGGGUAAACUUUUAACAAUGAAGGGACUGGUUUUCCUCCUAAAUUCUUUAUGCUGACAUGCUGACAUCUGUUUAUAGGGAGCACCAGUGUAAUUCACAUGGUCCAAAGCCUCAUGCUUUCUGUGGGCCCACUCAUCAGCCCCUCACUGCCUUCACAGCCAGCUUUCAAAGGCAACUACGGCUUUCUUACAAAGAGAGGCUUCUGGCGUUGUCACGAGAACACGGACCCAACAGCACAGGCUCUGCAUUCAAAUUCUGACUCGCCCGUUUAUUUGAGCAAGUUGCUUCAUUUCGCUAAGCCUCAAUUUCUUCAAACUGGAGAAAAGAACAGUGCUUAUCUCAUUAGGCUAUUUUGAAGAUUAAGCGAAAUAAAGCAAGAGAGUGUUCAGUGAGGUAUCCAGCACACCACAAGCCCUCAGUUAUCAUUAGCUAUGAUUAGUCUGUGUCUGUGUUAGGAAGCGCAGCGUUCUCUCCUCCGGGCUUUUCCAGUGACCUCAGGUAACGUGAUUUUCUUAAGCUGACUCUUGUGGGCUGGUACCUACUCUAGUCUUCAGGCCAGCUCCACACACGUGACUUUGAGCUGUUUCUCAGCUUCUACAAGUUCUCCCUCUCUCCCUCUCUCCCUCUCUCCCUCUCUCCCUCCCUCUCUCUCUCUCAGCCAGCCUGUAAAGCCGGAAGCACACAGCUCCCUCUGUGACUCAGAUCUCCUUCCCUCUGCUCAUACCACCAGAGAGAAAGGCUGUGUUGAAGCUCAAACAGGGACUUCUUGAUUUCUCCAAACCGAGAGGUGACUUUUCACCAUAUUCUUGGUAGAGGAUGCGUUUCAAUUCCAUUGGAAGGAAGAAGAGCACCUUGAGAUGUCAGCCACCAUGAUGCUGUGUUUCUGUUUCCCUUUGACCUGUUAUAAAGCUGUAGAACUACAGACAUAAGCUCUUGUGUCUCUCUUCCUUUGGAUUAUAUUGCUGAACAUGUUCAUUUUUUGCCCUUUCAUGGAGGUAUAAAAAUGGCACGUGUAUCUCCACGUACUCGUUUGACGUGUGCUCGUGAAAUCUGCUUGUGUGCCCACAUGAUGGUGUAUGAAGCAGCUCUCGGUGACUGACCUCUCAAUUUUCUCUGUGAAAGAUGAGUUAGAUAUUUUGGGUAAAGAUGAGUGUUGAAGCUGUCCUGGGAACAGUGGUUUGAGAAAAAUACUAAAUGUGUAUGCAAUGUAAUGGGAUGUACUUUUAUUUAUCAAUGGGAAAAGAAAGCUGCUUUGUCUUAAAGCAAAGAUUCUGUCCAGAAAGUUAAAGAAGAUAGUGAAAGAAAAAGCUUCCAUGGGCAGAGAAAGUUUACAAGGCUUUCAGAAAGUAAGCUUUAUUUGUCUUAGUUUAUAAUAAUGGCAAAUAAUGAGUGUGGAGAGAAGCAAUGAAACCAUUAAAAUGUUGGCAAAGUAGGAUCAGCUUUUACAAGUUUAUUUAUAAGAUUUAAAUAACUCAUGAAUUCUUUACUGCUAAAAUAUUACAUUAACAGAGCUCUAGAAUGUGGUUUUCUCUGUUAAAAUGACAGAUUGGUAUAGGAGUGUUCAGUCUGCUCUUUAGAAGAGGUAGUAAAAGUUAUUUGUUACCUUCUGUGUAACCUACCCAGACGGCUGAGAUUGAUUCUUUCUUACCAGAUAAACUUUCUGUGCUUAUCCUACUUUGUUGCAUGCUUGAUUACUAAAACAGACAGAACCCAAAGGUUCUUUGCUUCCAAAAGAGCUAAGAUUCCUUCCAAUUGUCCUAACUUCGGCAUAUGUUCAUUUAAAAAUAUUGUGCUGUCAUUUCGAUUAGCAAGAAACCAAGCCACAACCAUUCAUUGCUCUCAGGCUACCAUGCUUCCACCUUAAUCAAGUGACCAGCCUCCUCUGUUAAUGCUUUGAUUUUGUCUUCUCAAGGUCAGACACAAAAUUCAGAAAAAUAAAAUGUAAAUGAAUAAAUAAAUUCAAGAUUUUUUUUUAACUAAUCUAUUUUUUUCAUCUUACACAAGAAACUGCUAGAAAUAGGUUUUUUUUUUUUUUGUCCGGUAUGCUUCAUAUUUCAUACAGCUCAAUACUGUUGUAAAAGCUGCAAGGGAAGAGAAAUUGUGAAAUCAGA
This is a long non-coding RNA of Equus asinus (donkey), 6651 nucleotides long. The record is from Ensembl. Lineage: Eukaryota; Metazoa; Chordata; Mammalia; Perissodactyla; Equidae.